AACUAGUUAGUGAGCUGUAAAGUUAAGAAGAGAAUUAGAGGUAGGGAGAAAUUGAUUUGCCUCUGUGUAUGUGUGUGUGAGAGAGAGGGUUUAAAUGAUAUUAAUUUUAUUUAUCUGAGUUGGUGGGUUGGCUUUGGGCUUUGAUUAUUGACUUUGGUUCUGAGCGAAACUUUGGCAUAACAUGUGCUUUAUAUGCUAUAAGCAUGCAGCUCUAAUGAUUUUACUUAUACUUAAAUCAAAUCAAAUGUUGCCCAUGCA
Molecule: unclassified non-coding RNA, 258 nt
Filed under: Hevea brasiliensis (rubber tree)
Lineage: Eukaryota; Viridiplantae; Streptophyta; Magnoliopsida; Malpighiales; Euphorbiaceae
Source: RNAcentral